Molecule: long non-coding RNA, 1698 nt
Organism: Oncorhynchus tshawytscha (Chinook salmon)
Lineage: Eukaryota; Metazoa; Chordata; Actinopteri; Salmoniformes; Salmonidae
Source: Ensembl
GUUCAGUCUCACCUUGAUUGAUAGAAAUGCAAUAAUAUUUAAUAUUUCUACAAAUGUAUAACUCAUAUCUCUCUUGGAAGGCCAGAAAAUAAAUUAACAAUGGACAAUAAUUUUUACCUGGUAAAAGGAUGUGGAAGUUUUUUAAGUCCGCGCCUGAAGGUGGUCUUCGAAGGCGUUCUGAUCUGGUUCGACACUUCCACCACAUCAGGUGGAGUAUCAGUGACCUCAAAGUGUGAAUGACAUUGUUGCUGGGGUACAGCAGUAUCAAUCACCACUAUUGGACAACCUCAGGAAGCAGAUGGAAGCAGUGCUAAAGAAGCAUUCAGGAAGCACAUCAGGUCAACUUGAAAAAGAUGCAAUGGAUAUAUUUGACAAUUUCAUUGACCCUUUUGCUGGCGUUGCAACAACAUUUAGACAGGACAGUGGUAUUAAGAAGCUGUUUGGACGCAGAGGAAAUUCCAAUUGCUCGAACCAUAUGCAGGAUGAAAUGUGGAGGAUCAAAAGACAUUUUCAUCAAAGAUAAAUUAUUUUAUUAUGUACCAUUAGUCAAAAGUCUAGAACAGUUCUUAUCACACCCAAGGAUUUUGUCUAUGGUUAAAAAGGGACCCCAGAUGUGCAGGGAAAGUUUUUUCAUGACAUGGUUGAUGGUGCUCUUCUAAAAUCACAUCCCUUAUUUUCAGAGAAACCAAAGGCAUUGCAGAUUGUUCUGUACACGGAUUAAAUAGAAAUCUGUAAUCCACUAGGUCCUUUGCAUCAAAAAACAAGUUAAUUGUGUACUACACCCUAGGAAAUAUAAAUCCAAAAUACAGGUCUAAACUGGCUGCUAUCAGGAUACUUGCCAUGGCUAGAUCAGUAGACCUCCGUCAAUCUGGUGUAGAUGUAAUAUUGAAUAGAAUCAAGGAAGACAUGGAUGCAUUGUACAGUGGGGUUAAAAUGCUAACUAUUAACGGAGAGAAAAUUAUAUAUGGUGCCAUGGUUUCUCUGUGGAGACACCCUGGCACAACAGGGUUCAAAGAGGGUGUGGGCUUUGCCUACAGUAAGUGCAGACAUGUAUAUACUAAAGGAUAUAUAGGAUGUAUAUACUAAAAAGACAUUGGAGAAGCAUGUCAGUGUGAUGAAAUAGAAAAGGCACAGACGGACUUGCUUCGCAACAGCCUGAGAACAACAUAUGGGAUCAAUAGAAGGAGCAAGUUAGUUGAAUUCCCAGCCUUUGAUAUCAUACAAACUCCGCAAGACAUUAUGCAUGUCAUUCUGGAGGCAUAUCCCCAUUGGAAGUCAAAUGUGUUUUGAAUCAUCUCGUUGUGUCAGGACAGAUUGAUCUGGACUGAGUGAAUUCUGCUAUUCUUGGUUUCCCUUAAUUCCCCUCUAGAUGUUAGAGAUCGGCCAUCCCCAAUUUCUGUUAGUACAUUAAAGUCAAGUGAUGGUAAACUAAAACAGUCAUCUGGGCAAAUGCUUGUCCUGCUAAGGAUAUUGCCAUUUGUUUUUGGGGAGUUUGGAAGUCAAUGCAUAUAUACAACUGAUAAUUGAGCUAAUAGAGAUAGUACAGAUAGUAUUUGUACAGAUAGUAUUUGCGCCUGUUCUUUCCAUUGUGACUGUGUCUAGGUUGAAGUUGCUCAUUGAAAAUCAUUUGAAGCAUUGGAAGUUGCUUUUUCCAGACCGCAAUGUUACACCUAAACAGCAUUAUAUGAUACAUUUGCC